GCGGCGGUGCAGGCUGCCAGAGAGAGCGCUGGACCACGGUGGCAGCGACCGAGGGUCUCUUGGCUACCUGUGCAGGGUUCUGGGGUACUCAAAGCCGCUGGAUCCCUUCGUGUUAGCCUGUUUAUCCCAGGGGAUCCCAGGGAGUUGGGUCUCUCCCAAGCCAAGCUUCUACUCCAGAGAAGCUGCCUCAGAGCCUGGUCAUGGCUAUGCUCCUGACCCCACAGGAACCAGUCAGUCUUCUGAGAGUGAAGGUGGAAGAAGGUAUUCCUGGGCAUCCAGAAUUCUUCCUGGGAGGAAACAGAUCUGACCCUGGGCCCUCUGGGCAGUGUUUCAGAGCAGGACUCCGAGAUGCAUGUGAAAGAGCAGAGGCACCUAUAUCUGCAGUACCUGUGAGGAUGGGCAUCUGGGCGAAGGCCGCACAGCGUCCAGACCACAAUUUUCCUUUCCAGGGCUCUGCUCUUCAUUGGGAGGGAAUCCCAGAAGAAGAAGAAGAAAGGCCUCUGACAGCUGGAUCCCAGGUGAGUCAGGGUUUCUUCCCUGUCCCCAGGUGGUGGCCACAUGUCUGUCCACUCUCCCGAAUGAAGCCUCUCUUCCCAGCCAGAUUCAGGACCCUGAGCCCCUGGUAGAUGGCAGGCUCCAUGGGGAGGUCUCCUCGUUUGCCUCAUGUCCUUCCUCAUGCCCUUUCUCUUCUUUCUGCCCAUUCAUCCUUCACUCGUUCAUCCUGCAGAUACUUCCAUGACCACUGUCUGUGCGCCAUUCCUGCUCUCAGGGAGCAGGAUUCUCAUUGAAGAGGCAGGAAGGCAGGCAGGAUCCCCUCAGAUAAUGACCAGGGGCUUGUGGAUAAGUGCCAAGGUGAUCACGUGAAUGAAGG
This 871-nucleotide long non-coding RNA is filed under the name Vombatus ursinus (common wombat). RNAcentral describes it as "lncRNA (ENSVURG00010023582.1)". Lineage: Eukaryota; Metazoa; Chordata; Mammalia; Diprotodontia; Vombatidae. The record is from RNAcentral.